AGUAAUGUCUGGGAAACUGCCUGAUGGAGGGGGGAGUAACUACUGGAAACGGUAGCUAAUACCGCAUAACGUCGCAAGACCAAAGAGGGGGGACCUUCGGGCCUCUUGCCAUCGGAUGUGCCCAGAUGGGAUUAGCUAGUAGGUGGGGUAACGGCUCACCUAGGCGACGAUCCCUAGCUGGUCUGAGAGGAUGACCAGCCACACUGGAACUGAGACACGGUCCAGACUCCUACGGGAGGCAGCAUG
RNAcentral lists this ribosomal RNA (246 nucleotides) under uncultured bacterium. RNAcentral describes it as "partial 16S ribosomal RNA". It matches the Rfam family "Bacterial small subunit ribosomal RNA", at positions 109 to 353 of the family's 1533-position model. The record is from RNAcentral.